RNAcentral lists this small RNA (951 nucleotides) under Pan troglodytes (chimpanzee). RNAcentral describes it as "processed transcript". The record is from RNAcentral. Lineage: Eukaryota; Metazoa; Chordata; Mammalia; Primates; Hominidae.
ACAGGUGAAGAUUCUGGGGUGGGCGAAACCUCCAAAAGACCAUUUUCCCAUGACAAUGCAGAUUUUGGCAAAGCUGCAUCUGCUGGUGAGCAGCUAGAACUGGAGAAGCUAAAACUUACUUAUGAGGAAAAGUGUGAAAUUGAGGAAUCCCAAUUGAAGUUUUUGAGGUAAAGUGAAAUCGUCCAUUUAUAGUCAUACCAAAAGCAUAAUGAUCUUAAAAUAUAUUUGAAUGUUUGCUGAACUUCUAGUUUUAGUCAUUAUCAGACUUACUUGAUGACAUUUUAUAUACACUUUAAAAAAUUUCCUCAGAUUAUUAAAGGAUAAAAGGCCUAAAAUUGAGUUCUUUUCCAAAUCACAUUCCCAUUUCUUCAUCAGUUGUAAAAUAUUUGUGUUUUCUUGUAGAAAUAAGAAUCACGGCCGGGCGCGGUGGCUCACGCCUGUAAUCCCAGCACUUUGGGAGGCUGAAGCGGGUGAAUCACGAGGUCAAGAGAUUGAGACCAUCCUGGCCAACAUGGUGAAACCCCGUUUCUACUAAAAAUACAAAAAUUAGCUGGGCCUGGUGGCACGUGCCUGUAGUCCCAGCUACUUGGGAGGCUGAGGCAGGAGAAUCGCUUGAACCCGGGAGGGGGAGGUUGCAGUAAGCUGAGACCACGCCACUGCACUCCAACAUGGCAACAGAGUGAGACUCCAUUUCAAAAAAGAAAAAAAAAAAGAAAAAGAAAUAAGAAUCACUAACUGCUCUUAUAGAAAUUAUGAUAUUCAAGUAAAAUAAUGAAAAUAAAGCACUUUAGUUUUCAAAUUAUUAGUAUUUUUUCUCUGUAGAUAGUCUUCAUCUAAUUUUAAAAUUGCAAUGAUAAUAGAAUAGUUUGAGUAUUUGUAUACAUGAUGAAUUUGAGUAUAUAUGAUGAAUAUUCAUGUACUUUUUAUAGAAUCUAUUUAUUAGAGAUCCCA